ACUCCACUUGAAGGAAGCUGUCUAAAUCCAUGUAAGAGAUCUCCUCGUAUUUUUUUCCCUCCCCCCUGAGGCUCUUCCUCCUCACCAGACACCUGUUCCAAGGAAGCUCCUGCAACAAGGGUGUGGGCUUGUGUCGUGAAGGUUGAGUAUCCAGAGUGACAGUGAAGAAUCCAUACUCCCACCAAGAGUGGAUUUCAGUGUGCCUGAGAGGAAGAA
RNAcentral lists this long non-coding RNA (216 nucleotides) under Sus scrofa (pig). RNAcentral describes it as "lncRNA (ENSSSCG00070006320.1)". The record is from RNAcentral. Lineage: Eukaryota; Metazoa; Chordata; Mammalia; Artiodactyla; Suidae.